UAUGCUCAGUUCCAACACCACACACACAAAACUGGAAUGAAAUUAGCAUGGCCUCUGUGCAAGGAUAACAGGCAACUUGGCUAAGUGUUUUUA
RNAcentral lists this small nuclear RNA (93 nucleotides) under Mus pahari (shrew mouse). RNAcentral describes it as "snRNA (MGP_PahariEiJ_G0033801.1)". Lineage: Eukaryota; Metazoa; Chordata; Mammalia; Rodentia; Muridae. The record is from RNAcentral.